Molecule: ribosomal RNA, 452 nt
Filed under: uncultured bacterium
Lineage: Bacteria
Description: bacterial SSU rRNA
Rfam family: Bacterial small subunit ribosomal RNA
Source: RNAcentral
ACUCCUACGGGAGGCAGCAGUGAGGAAUAUUGGACAAUGGGCGCAAGCCUGAUCCAGCCAUGCCGCGUGCAGGAAGACUGCCCUAUGGGUUGUAAACUGCUUUUAUACGGGAAGAAACACUCCCUCGUGAGGGAGCUUGACGGUACCGUAAGAAUAAGGAUCGGCUAACUCCGUGCCAGCAGCCGCGGUAAUACGGAGGAUCCAAGCGUUAUCCGGAAUCAUUGGGUUUAAAGGGUCCGUAGGUGGAUAAUUAAGUCAGAGGUGAAAUCCUGCAGCUCAACUGUAGAAUUGCCUUUGAUACUGGUUAUCUUGAGUCAUUAUGAAGUGGUUAGAAUAUGUAGUGUAGCGGUGAAAUGCAUAGAUAUUACAUAGAAUACCAAUUGCGAAGGCAGAUCACUAAUAAUGUACUGACACUGAUGGACGAAAGCGUGGGGAGCGAACAGGAUUAGAUA